AGGUAGGAACUAUAGGGACUGUAGGUAGGUAGGGACUGUAGGGACUGUAGGUAGGUAGUGACUGUAGGUAGGUAGGAACUGUAGGGACUGUAGGUAGGUAGGGGCUGUAGGGACUGUAGGUAGGUAGGGACUGUAGGUAGGUAGUGACUGUAGGUAGGUAGGGACUGUAGGUAGAUAGUGACUGUAGGGACUGUAGGUAGAUAGUGACUGUAGCGACUGUAGGUAGGUAGUGACUGUAGGUAGGUAGGGACUGUAGGGAUUGUAGGUAGGUAGGGACUGUAGGUAGGUAGUGACUGUAGGGACUGUAGGGACUGUAGGUAGGUAGGGACUGCAGGGACUGUAGGUAGGUAGGGACUGUAGGGACUGUAGGUAGGUAGGUACUGUAGGUAGG
Long non-coding RNA from Oncorhynchus tshawytscha (Chinook salmon), 391 nucleotides. The record is from Ensembl. NCBI's taxonomy places the organism in Eukaryota, Metazoa, Chordata, Actinopteri, Salmoniformes, Salmonidae.